RNAcentral lists this ribosomal RNA (173 nucleotides) under uncultured archaeon. Its description in RNAcentral is "partial 16S rRNA". It matches the Rfam family "Archaeal small subunit ribosomal RNA", at positions 380 to 553 of the family's 1478-position model. The record is from RNAcentral.
CCCAAGUGCCACUCUUAACGGGAUGGCUUUUCAUUAGUGUAAAGAGCUUUUGGAAUAAGGGCUGGGCAAGACCGGUGCCAGCCGCCGCGGUAACACCGGCAGCUCUAGUGGUAGCAGUUUUUAUUGGGCCUAAAGCGUCCGUAGCCGGUCUGAUAAGUCUCUGGUGAAAUCCC